GGUGACCAGCGGAGGGAUCAUUAAAGAGUUCUAUAACUCCCAAACCCAUGUGAACAUACCUAACGUUGCCUCGGCAGGUCGCACCUACCUUGUAGCACCCUACCCUGUAGGGCCUACCCGGGAGGUGCGGGUAAGCCUGCCGGCGGCCCACCAAACUCUGUUUGAUAUUGAAUUCUGAACCUAUAACUAAAUAAGUUAAAACUUUCAACAACGGAUCUCUUGGUUCUGGCAUCGAUGAAGAACGCAGCGAAAUGCGAUAAGUAAUGUGAAUUGCAGAAUUCAGUGAAUCAUCGAAUCUUUGAACGCAUAUUGCGCCCAUUAGUAUUCUAGUGGGCAGGACCGUUCGAGCGUCAUUUCAACCCUUAAGCCUUCGUUGCUUAGUGUUGGGAGCCUACGGCAACGUAGCUCCUCAAAGUUAGUGGCGGAGUUGGUUCACACUCUAGACGUAGUAAUUUUUUAUCUCGCCUAUUAGUUGGACUAAUCCCCUGCCGUAAAACCCCCAAUUUAUCAAGGUUGACCUCGAAUCGGUUCAGACAAACUCGCUAAAUUGAAGCAUCUUAGUCAGCGAAGGAAAAGAAACCAACAGGGAUUGCCCUAGUAACGGCGAGUGAAGC
RNAcentral lists this ribosomal RNA (614 nucleotides) under fungal endophyte. RNAcentral describes it as "eukaryotic LSU rRNA". The stretch from base 200 to 353 matches the Rfam family "5.8S ribosomal RNA". Lineage: Eukaryota; Fungi. The record is from RNAcentral.